RNAcentral lists this ribosomal RNA (519 nucleotides) under uncultured bacterium. RNAcentral describes it as "bacterial SSU rRNA". It matches the Rfam family "Bacterial small subunit ribosomal RNA", at positions 767 to 1302 of the family's 1533-position model. The record is from RNAcentral.
AGCAAAUAGAUACCCUGGUAGUCCACGCCGUAAACGAUGGAUACUAGCUGUUCGGAGCAAAUCUGAGUGGCUAAAGCGAAAGUGAUAAGUAUCCCACCUGGGGAGUACGCACGCAAGUGUGAAACUCAAAGGAAUUGACGGGGCCCGCACAAGCGGUGGAGCAUGUGGUUUAAUUCGAUGAUACGCGAGGAACCUUACCAGGGCUUAAAUGUAGAUUGACAGGACUGGAAACAGUUUUUCUUCGGACAAUUUACAAGGUGCUGCAUGGUUGUCGUCAGCUCGUGCCGUGAGGUGUCAGGUUACGUCCUAUAACGAGCGCAACCCCUGUCGUUAGUUGCCAGCGAGUCAUGUCGGGAACUCUAACGAGACUGCCAGUGUAAACUGUGAGGAAGGUGGGGAUGACGUCAAAUCAUCACGGCCUUACGUCCUGGGCACACACGUGCUACAAUGGUAGGUACAGAGAGCAGCCACUGCGCGAGCAGGAGCGAAUCUACAAAACCUAUCUCAGUUCGGAUCGGA